CAUUAUCAUGCCAUGCAACACUUGAAGGUGCAUCAUUUCAGGGCCUUGGUUUCCAACUAUCAGGUCAUCCAUCUCUUAGACAAAACCCGACUUAGACUCCACUGGUAGCUUCAAUACAUGGAGGCCUGGAACAGCAAGGCGAUAUUCAGUUCAUGCUCAGACUUUGUUCUGGAAUCAGACGACAGCAAUCUUGGCUGGGUUGCGACCUGCAAGGGCUCAGUAACAGAGGGGCCUUUGGACCCUCGACAAGAGGAACCUGCACAGUAACUGCCUAAAAUUAAUUGCGGGUUACUUCAACAUCCACAGUUUCACCAAAUUGGAUGUUAUCUUUUACCUUGUGUCCUUUAGACAUGUCUCAGAUGUUUGAGCAUUUGACAUGGAUUCUAUGGACAGUCUGGA
Pelobates cultripes (western spadefoot toad) is the source of this 399-nucleotide non-coding RNA. The record is from the annotation of a GenBank genome assembly. NCBI's taxonomy places the organism in Eukaryota, Metazoa, Chordata, Amphibia, Anura, Pelobatidae.